AGCAGAGUGGCGCAGCGGAAGCGUGCUGGGCCCAUAACCCAGAGGUCGGUGGAUCAAAGCCACCCUCUGCUA
This 72-nucleotide transfer RNA is filed under the name Trichoplax adhaerens. It matches the Rfam family "tRNA". Rfam says of the family: Transfer RNA (tRNA) molecules are approximately 80 nucleotides in length. Lineage: Eukaryota; Metazoa; Placozoa; Uniplacotomia; Trichoplacea; Trichoplacidae. The record is from Rfam by way of RNAcentral. RNAcentral also lists the same sequence under 1 other name.